GUGGGGAAUAUUGGACAAUGGGCGCAAGCCUGAUCCAGCCAUGCCGCGUGAGUGAUGAAGGCCCUAGGGUUGUAAAGCUCUUUCAGUGGGGACGAUAAUGACGGUACCCACAGAAGAAGCCCCGGCUAACUUCGUGCCAGCAGCCGCGGUAAUACGAAGGGGGCUAGCGUUGUUCGGAUUUACUGGGCGUAAAGCGCACGUAGGCGGAUCGUUAAGUCGAGGGUGAAAUCCUGGAGCUCAACUCCAGAACUGCCUUCGAUACUGGCGAUCUUGAAUCCGGAAGAGGUGAGUGGAACUCCUAGUGUAGAGGUGGAAUUCGUAGAUAUUAGGAAGAACACCAGUGGCGAAGGCGGCUCACUGGUCCGGUACUGACGCUGAGGUGCGAAAGCGUGGGGAGCAAACAGGAUUAGAAACCCCUGUAGUCC
Molecule: ribosomal RNA, 425 nt
Filed under: uncultured bacterium
Lineage: Bacteria
Description: partial 16S ribosomal RNA
Rfam family: Bacterial small subunit ribosomal RNA
Source: RNAcentral